GGGGAUGUUACUUAUUCGACGACAGGUGAAAUAAUAUACGGCAAGUUGAGAGUGAUCUCAUUAAAUAUCUCCCGCAAUAAGUGCAAAAAACUUCAUUGCUAAAGCUAAGGACCUUUUUAAGGCUCCUCAGUUUGCCCCAGUUGUAGCUUAAAAAUGCUACGACCGUUUCAUUUUAGCAACCUAGGGCUAGCUUGAGACGAUAUUUACUAGGAUAAGAAUAUUUAUCGUUGGGCUAAAUAUUACGAAAAACCUUACCAACUUGGCCAAUGAUUUUUUGUUGAUUUUUUAGUCUUUGGCUGAAACAAAAAAUUAACUAAACUUGUAGAAGUGUGUUAGGCAAUUUGUCAGACAGGGGUGUGAUACCCCUCAUCUCCACCA
This 378-nucleotide transfer-messenger RNA is filed under the name Patescibacteria group. RNAcentral describes it as "BM519 sp002869235 Standard tmRNA". It matches the Rfam family "transfer-messenger RNA". From Rfam's summary of the family: Bacterial tmRNA, also known as 10Sa RNA or SsrA, is named for its dual tRNA and mRNA-like properties. The record is from RNAcentral.